ACCCGCUGCGGUGGACCUGGCCGGCGCCCUGGACCUCUCGCUUUUCUCAUCCGCUCCCCGCGCCUGCACAGGCAGGUAAUGAAGCCGCUCGGAGAGUGACUCUGGUUCUGUUAGGCGGUCACACAAACCCGGAAAAGCUCGCUUUUGCACACCUCAGAGUUAGAUCCCGCUGGACCCUGGACCCCGGGCUGGCGCGGCCGGCAUGUCGGAUGCGCGGAAGGGGCCGGACGAGGCGGAUGAUAGCCAGUGUGACUCUGGCAUAGAGUCGCUGCGCUCUCUACGCUCCCUGCCUGAACCUACUGCGGCCCCAGGCUCCGGAUCAUCCCAAAGCGGCUGCCCACAGCCUUGGAGACAUGCUCCGGAGACCCACAAGGAACCAGAGAAAGAAGAUGCGGAUGGAGAGCGAGCGGACUCCACUUAUGCCUCCUCCUCUCUCACUGAAUCCUUCCCCUUACUGGAGAGACCCGAAGCCAAGGAUCCAAGCCCUCCCGCCCCAGGAUCGCCGCUGCCCCCCGCGGGGGUGCUGAGCCCUCAGCAACUCGAGGCGCUCACAUACAUCUCUGAGGAUGGAGACACGUGAGUAAACUGGCUAGGCUGAGAUAAGAUGUUCAGUUAGAGCCCCCCUCCGAGCUGCAACUGGCUGGGCUACCACCACCACUUCAUCACCCGAGAGGAUAGACCCUCACAGCACCUGCCCUGGAAGGGCCAGCCUCCUUCUCCAAACUCCAAACUUAACUUGCAACUUGCUUUUAAGCUGUAGCCAGGUUCAGACCAAAAACCAGACAUCAUCACCUCUUUUGGGAGUGGACAGGAUAGCAGUGCCCUUGUAACCUAGAACACCAGCCACAGUCUUGAAAAUCUACUAGUGACCCACUCCUGGGAAGAGGAAUUCCCCCGCAACCAAUUCAGUUUUUGUUUUUCUUGUUGGGGGAAGGAAUGUCCCUGUUUGCUCAAUAUUUGGGAUACCAAUGCCUAACUUCAGAACACCCUAACCAGAGGGGGGAAAAAAGACUACACCAGGAUUACAGGUUGUCAUCUGAGCUCAGGAAGCCUGGAUUAACGGUGCUACCUGGAUGCCCAUUUGAAAGUGGUUCCAAAAGAGGGACUAGACUGAGAAUUUUUGCCCCCAACAAACAGGAUAGGCAGCUGGCUGCCCCAGCUCACUUCCUCCUCUGCUGAGAAAAGGGAAGUAAUGGCUUGGCCUCAGCCUCCCCAACAGUUACCUCCUGAGCUCCCCAAAUUCUUCUUGCUGUCCCAUCUCUUGAUCUCCCUUUUCUCCCUUAGGUCCAGCUGGAAUCAGGUGCAGCUGGACUGUGAGGCUAUCAAGUGUGUAGGUGUCAAGUGCAGAAGAGGUGACUGGGCUUUGUGGGUGUUAGAGCAGGGGCAGCUGGAGUGCUAGCUAGAUGAGAGAGACGCUGGGAUGCAGGGGGUACCUGUCCUGACCUGCUUGUUGGAGAUGUAGGGGUCUUGGUUGGGUACUAGCAAAGAUAGUCUCCAUCCUGUGAGCAGGAGAGAGGCCUUUUGUAUUUCAGGCGCCAGUCACAACCCUUAGGCCAGGACCUCAGAGUUCUGGGAGCUCUGUGCACAGCUUCUCGGGCCACCGCGCCCUCCACGGUUAGCCCCUGUGCUGCAUGCAGCCUUGACACACUCUGCUUAGAGACAGAUCCAGUGUGUCUGGAGAAGCAUCAGCCCCCUCCCCCCCAGCCCCCAGCAGACAUCUUCCCUCCUUUGGAGGUGGCUGGACUGUGGGAAGUAUGGAAGUGGGAAAAGGAAGUGGGCAGGAGGAGGGGAGACUGAGGGAGAGAGGGAGGUGGCUGCAGGAAUGUGACCCAGAGAGCAGGCCCUGGCCGAGGGGAUUUCCACAGUGGUUCCUCCCUCCCUCCGUCACUCUCUCCUGGCCUCCUCUACUGCCUGCCUACAGCAAAAGUUUGCCCCCCCCCUCCUGCCUAAGUAUCCCCCUCCCUAGCCCAGACAGGCCUUUAGCCAAGUUGCCCCCAAGGCAGCUGUCCAGGUCUAGACCAUUUAACCCUGGCUUUCAUUUUCCCCACCUGAUGUGGGG
RNAcentral lists this long non-coding RNA (2059 nucleotides) under Mus musculus (house mouse). RNAcentral's name for it is "long non-coding RNA chr17:45555738-45557797". The record is from RNAcentral. Lineage: Eukaryota; Metazoa; Chordata; Mammalia; Rodentia; Muridae.